GACGAACCCGUGCGAACGUUGUUCGGAAUCACUGGGCUUAAAGGGCGCGUAGGCGGACGAUCAAGUCAGGGGUGAAAGCCCACGGCUCAACCGUGGAAGUGCCUCUGAUACUGAUCGUCUCGAGGGAGGUAGGGGCGUGCGGAACUUCCGGUGGAGCGGUGAAAUGCGUAGAUAUCGGAAGGAACACCGGUGGCGAAAGCGGCGCGCUGGAUCUCUACUGACGCUGAGGCGCGAAAGCCAGGGGAGCAAACGGGAUUAGAUACCCUGGUAGU
Molecule: ribosomal RNA, 272 nt
Filed under: uncultured bacterium
Lineage: Bacteria
Description: partial 16S ribosomal RNA
Rfam family: Bacterial small subunit ribosomal RNA
Source: RNAcentral